CCCUUAGAUGUCCGGGGCUGCACGCGCGCUACACUGAAGGAAUCAGCGUGCUAAAACCAUUGUCGAAAGGCAUUGGUAAACCCAUUAAAAUCCUACGUGAUUGGGAUCGGGAAUUGCAAUUAUUUCCCUUGAACGAGGAAUUCCCAGUAAGUGUGGGUCAUAAGCUCUCGUUGAUUACGUCCCUGCCCUUUGUACACACCGCCCGUCGCUGCCCGGGACUGAGCCGUUUCGAGAAAAGCGGGGACUGCUGCUGUCGGGGCUUUCGGGCCUUGGCUUCGGUGGAAACCGCUUUAAUCGCAGUGGCUUGAACCGGGCAAAAGUCGUAACA
Molecule: ribosomal RNA, 328 nt
Filed under: uncultured eukaryote
Lineage: Eukaryota
Description: partial 18S ribosomal RNA
Rfam family: Eukaryotic small subunit ribosomal RNA
Source: RNAcentral